AUGCGGCGGGGCCGGGGCGCGGGGCUGGCCGGGCUGGCCGCGCUGCUGCUGGUGGCUGCGGGCAGAGCCCAGGUGCAGCAGGAGCCGCGGGCAGAGACCAGCGAGGAGAUCGGCAUCACCAUCAAUUGCUCUCACCCCAGCAUCAACUCCUAUGACUAUAUCCACUGGUACCGUCAGUUCCCGGGCCGAGGUCCCGAGUGGCUCGUGAGCGCUCUCCGAGGGUCCCAGGAGCUGCGGUCGCCGUCGGGGCGGCUGUCGGUGUCGGCAGACCGGCGGUCCAGCGGGCUGCGGCUCUCCCGGCCCCGGCGCGGGGACGCGGCCGUGUACUGGUGCGCCGUGGGAGACACGGGGAGAGGAGCCGGGGCUGCGGCCGGGCACGAACCGCCGCGGGCGGCACGGCGGGGCCGACAGGGGGCGCUGCCGCCCGCCGCUCCGGCAGCACCGGGACAGCGACACCGACACAGAGACACAGGCGUAGAGAUACGGACACACGGACACGGACACACAGACACAGGACACAGGCGUAGAGAUACGGACACAGGGACACGGACACACAGACACAGGACACAGGCGUAG
Non-coding RNA from Colius striatus (speckled mousebird), 576 nucleotides. The record is from the annotation of a RefSeq genome assembly. NCBI's taxonomy places the organism in Eukaryota, Metazoa, Chordata, Aves, Coliiformes, Coliidae.